This 253-nucleotide ribosomal RNA is filed under the name uncultured bacterium. Its description in RNAcentral is "partial 16S ribosomal RNA". It matches the Rfam family "Bacterial small subunit ribosomal RNA", at positions 524 to 776 of the family's 1533-position model. The record is from RNAcentral.
GACGAACCAUCCAAACGUUAUUCGGAAUUACUGGGCUUAAAGGGUGCGUAGGCUGCGCAGAAAGUUGGGUGUGAAAUCCCUCGGCUUAACCGAGGAACUGCGCCCAAAACUACUGUGCUUGAGGGAGACAGAGGUGAGCGGAACUUAGGGUGGAGCGGUGAAAUGCGUUGAUAUCCUAAGGAACACCCGUGGCGAAAGCGGCUCACUGGGUCUCUUCUGACGCUGAUGCACGAAAGCUAGGGGAGCAAACGGG